GAGGAUGUAGCUCAGUUGGUAGAGUGCUUGCCUUGCAUGCACAAGGCCCUGGGUUCAAUCCCCAGCACCACA
RNAcentral lists this transfer RNA (72 nucleotides) under Marmota marmota marmota (Alpine marmot). It matches the Rfam family "tRNA". From Rfam's summary of the family: Transfer RNA (tRNA) molecules are approximately 80 nucleotides in length. Their secondary structure includes four short double-helical elements and three loops (D, anti-codon, and T loops). Lineage: Eukaryota; Metazoa; Chordata; Mammalia; Rodentia; Sciuridae. RNAcentral also lists the same sequence under 4 other names. The record is from Rfam by way of RNAcentral.